RNAcentral lists this ribosomal RNA (423 nucleotides) under uncultured bacterium. RNAcentral describes it as "partial 16S ribosomal RNA". It matches the Rfam family "Bacterial small subunit ribosomal RNA", at positions 360 to 774 of the family's 1533-position model. The record is from RNAcentral.
AAUCUUCCGCAAUGGACGCAAGUCUGCCGGAGCAACGCCGCGUGAGUGAUGAAGGUUUUCGGAUCGUAAAACUCUGUUGUUAGGGAAGAACAAGUACCGUUCGAAUAGGUCGGUACCUUGACGGUACCUAAACAGACAGACACGGUUACCUACCUUCCAGCAGCCGCGGUAAUACGUAGGUGGCAAGCGGUAACCGGAAUUAUUGGGCGUAAAGCGCGCGCAGGCGGUUUCUUAAGUCUGAUGUGAAAGCCCACGGCUCAACCGUGGAGGGUCAUUGGAAACUGGGGAACUUGAGUGCAGAAGAGGAGAGUGGAAUUCCAUGUGUAGCGGUGAAAUGCGUAGAGAUAUGGAGGAACACCAGUGGCGAAGGCGACUCUCUGGUCUGCAACUGACGCUGAGGCGCGAAAGCGUGGGGAGCAAACA